RNAcentral lists this ribosomal RNA (433 nucleotides) under uncultured bacterium. RNAcentral's name for it is "partial 16S ribosomal RNA". It matches the Rfam family "Bacterial small subunit ribosomal RNA", at positions 29 to 507 of the family's 1533-position model. The record is from RNAcentral.
AACGAACGCUGGCGGCAUGCCUAACACAUGCAAGUCGAACGAGGCCUUCGGGUCUAGUGGCGCACGGGUGCGUAACGCGUGGGAACCUGCCCUUAGGUUCGGAAUAACUCCCCGAAAGGGGUGCUAAUACCGGAUAAUGCCUUCGGACCAAAGAUUUAUCGCCUUUGGAUGGGCCCGCGUUGGAUUAGCUAGUUGGUAGGGUAAAAGCCUACCAAGGCGACGUUCCAUAGCUGGUCUGAGAGGAUGAUCAGCCACACUGGGACUGAGACACGGCCCAGACUCCUACGGGAGGCAGCAGUGGGGAAUAUUGGACAAUGGGCGAAAGCCUGAUCCAGCAAUGCCGCGUGAGUGAUGAAGGCCUUAGGGUUGUAAAGCUCUUUUACCCGGGAUGAUAAUGACAGUACCGGGAGAAUAAGCUCCGGCUAACUCCGUG